GAAGCUAUAGCUCAGUGGUACAGUAUGUGCUUAGGGUGCACGAGGUCCUAGGUUCAAUCCUCAGUAUCUCCA
Molecule: transfer RNA, 72 nt
Filed under: Camelus bactrianus (Bactrian camel)
Lineage: Eukaryota; Metazoa; Chordata; Mammalia; Artiodactyla; Camelidae
Also listed under: 1 other name
Rfam family: tRNA
About the family: Transfer RNA (tRNA) molecules are approximately 80 nucleotides in length. Their secondary structure includes four short double-helical elements and three loops (D, anti-codon, and T loops).
Source: Rfam by way of RNAcentral